This is a long non-coding RNA of Esox lucius (northern pike), 383 nucleotides long. RefSeq lists it as uncharacterized. The record is from RefSeq and is a predicted model, not a curated record. The transcript is spliced from 3 exons. NCBI's taxonomy places the organism in Eukaryota, Metazoa, Chordata, Actinopteri, Esociformes, Esocidae.
CCAAACACAAAACCUCACACUGUCAGACAUGGAAAUGAUGCCUUUGCUCCACUUUUCUCUACAGACAUCACACCAGGUCAGAGGGACAGUUUCCUGGAGGUGCUGUGGCUUUAUGUUUACAAGUCGGCUGUGCUUGUGGUGUUUGUCAUCAUGGUUCUAACAAUAUUCAUGCUAUCGAAACAUGGAUGUAAAGGUGUCUGUCCAUCAAGACAACCAGAAAUAGAGGAACAACCAGAGAGACAGAACAUAGCUAUACCACUGACUGAGCCAGUAUCCCCACGACCAAAACCUAGUCCCCACCAAGCCCAGCAAAAGUGCUGGUCCAACUCACCGCCAGACAGUAUAUAUGAAAACAUAACUGCCAGUGACCAUCUCACCUGUGC